This 609-nucleotide long non-coding RNA is filed under the name Helianthus annuus (common sunflower). Lineage: Eukaryota; Viridiplantae; Streptophyta; Magnoliopsida; Asterales; Asteraceae. The record is from RNAcentral.
UGCAAGUCUCUUCACGUUGCUUGUAGGAUCCUUUAUCAUAUCUUCAUAUUUCAACAAAAGAGUUAUCUCGGGUCUCUCUAGGCUUGCUUUCGCAAAUCCUGAGAGAUGAUCCCAAAUUGGUCCAAAGACAUUAAUGCCCUGACAAAACUCGUCAAAUGCCUCCUCAAAUGGGGCAUCUUCUAUGGUUUGAAGCUCGGAUUGAUUCUGGCAAUAAGUUGUAAGGAAUGUGUGUGGCUAUGGGUGUGAUACAUGAGUUGUCGAUGUGGCGGUUUUCAAGGAUUUGCUCAAUAUUUUUCUCAAGGGAGGGAAUGCAGUUAUGAGGGAUGUUUGUGAGCAAAGGUGUGUUGGAUUCGUCAAACUUUUGUCGGGUUACGAUGGCAAAAGCAAUGGCCUUUAGCCAUGUCGUGCCGCUUUUGGGAUGACUGCAUAGAAACACAUCACUUGGUUGAGCCUUGAAGGUAUGUUGUGCUGAAAUUAUUCCUUCGAGGAACUUUGGAUGGCACCAUAUGCCUUGAUAGUUGUACAUGAUUUCCCUGCCUUUCACCCAACUAUGAGUGUAUUGAGGAAAUGUUUUGAUCAUCUCUUCAAUGUCUCUAGCAGACAUAACUU